This 88-nucleotide transfer RNA is filed under the name Phocaeicola vulgatus. RNAcentral describes it as "tRNA-Ser". It matches the Rfam family "tRNA". From Rfam's summary of the family: Transfer RNA (tRNA) molecules are approximately 80 nucleotides in length. Lineage: Bacteria; Pseudomonadati; Bacteroidota; Bacteroidia; Bacteroidales; Bacteroidaceae. RNAcentral also lists the same sequence under 1 other name. The record is from RNAcentral.
GGAGAGGUGCUCGAGUGGUUGAAGAGGCACGCCUGGAAAGCGUGUAUACCCUAAAAGGGUAUCCGGGGUUCGAAUCCCCGUCUCUCCG